CUAUGUAUACCUGUCACUGCCCGCCCUCCCCCCACCAUACCCCAUCAUGAAGGAAAGGGGAGGGGAAGGAGAAGAAGAGGGGAGGGGAGGGAGAGCCACCUGCCAGCGGCCAUCACGAGCACCCCAGCUGGCCCCGCGUAAGGUGUAAGGAAUCUUGACUCACCUGGUCAUCAGCCAUCUUUGUUGUGUUCGGGGUGAGAUAAAUUAAGACAACAACUGUUUGACUUCAGAAUUAAGAGAAAAAAAAAGUUACCUCCUGAUAUGUUUACUGCGCGGCGCUUGAGGAUGACCCCAUUGUUACACGCGACCAGCUUUCCCUCCCUCCUGGCCUUCCCCGCAGACUUCCACACUGGAGGACGAAAGUUGAUAAGCAAGCAGGUACGUGGAGGCGCCGACCACCACGAAAUGGUAGUGCGAAGCACUGAGGAGAGAAACUCACUGCUCCCGUCUUGUUGAAACGACUCCACGACGUCUCCUGUGCUUUGUUCUUAGAACAUCAGCAGUAACUCACCACUGCUUCUUAAUGUGUGCGUUUGCAAGUGCAACAGACGACUAAUAAGUUCACGAUGUGAACUUCGUUCACAUCGUGAAAAUUCCCUUUAAUGUUGUUGUUAUAUAACAACGAGUAUGUACAUAUAUAUAUUUUGUUUGCUUAUAUUUAUUGGACUGGUGGUGUGUAUUUUGAUUUACACAAAAUAGUUAGUAGUUUGCGUUCAGUAUCAGUGAUAAAAAGGUUCUUAUAGUUUGGUGGUUGAUAAAUUAUUGUCCUUACAAAAAAGAUGAGGUAUAAGGGCGUAAACUGAAA
Scylla paramamosain (green mud crab) is the source of this 805-nucleotide long non-coding RNA. RefSeq lists it as uncharacterized. The transcript has 4 exons. The record is from RefSeq and is a predicted model, not a curated record. Lineage: Eukaryota; Metazoa; Arthropoda; Malacostraca; Decapoda; Portunidae.